This 638-nucleotide ribosomal RNA is filed under the name Galeandra blanchetii. RNAcentral's name for it is "eukaryotic LSU rRNA". The stretch from base 230 to 385 matches the Rfam family "5.8S ribosomal RNA". The record is from RNAcentral. Lineage: Eukaryota; Viridiplantae; Streptophyta; Magnoliopsida; Asparagales; Orchidaceae.
AUAUAGACGGAGCGACUCAGAGAACACGUGUAUCGAGCGACGACGCUGUCGUCGUGGGAUGGCCGGCCCGGUCGUCGCCCUCAUCUCCUGAUGGGUAGUGCGGGGCACGGCCAGGGACGGAUGAAAGCAAAAACCGGCGCAGCAUCGCGUCAAGGAAUAAUUCAAAGGCACGAGCCCCGCGUGGGGCUCGGUGGCGUGGGGUGCUUCGGCACGUUGCGCGGUUGGACAUGACUCUCGGCAAUGGAUAUCUCGGCUCUCGCAUCGAUGAAGAGCGCAGCGAAAUGCGAUACGUGGUGCGAAUUGCAGAAUCCCGCGAACCAUCGAGUCUUUGAACGCAAGUUGCGCCCGAGGCCGUCAGGCCAAGGGCACGUCCGCCUGGGCGUCAAGCGUUGCGUCGCUCCGUGCCACAGCUCUGACCGCAUCGCAGUGUGGAGUUUGAGGCUCGGAUGUGCAGAGUGGCUCGUCGUGCCCAUCAGUGCGACGGGUUGAAGAAAGGGCAACGUCUCGCAGGCCGCGAACAACAAGGGGUGGGUGAAUGCUGCGAGCACAACCUGCGUUGUCUCGUGUUGGCCCGAGAGAUGGAUCGCGCCUUCAAGGUGAUCCCGACCCAUGCACCGAUCCGCAUCCGGGCGGUGUCU